This 499-nucleotide ribosomal RNA is filed under the name uncultured bacterium. RNAcentral describes it as "partial 16S ribosomal RNA". It matches the Rfam family "Bacterial small subunit ribosomal RNA", at positions 28 to 507 of the family's 1533-position model. The record is from RNAcentral.
GACGAACGCUGGCGGCGUGCUUAACACAUGCAAGUCGAACGGGCCUGUCUUCUUUUUUGGGGGUGGGUUGAGUGGCGAACGGGUGAGUAUCACGUGAGUAACCUGCCCUUCGGUCCUGGAUAACCGCUUGAAAGGGCGGCUAAUACGGGGUGGUCCGGUUGGUCCGCAUGGGCUGGUCGGGAUAGAUUCACUGUUUUUGGUGUUUCGGCGGGGGAUGGGCUCGCGGCCUAUCAGCUUGUUGGUGGGGUGAUGGCCUACCAAGGCGGUGACGGGUAGCCGGUCUGAGAGGGUGGGCGGCCACACUGGGACUGAGAUACGGCCCAGACUCCUGCGGGAGGCAGCAGUGGGGGGUAUUGCACAAUGGGCGGAAGCCUGAUGCAGCGACGUCGCGUGAGGGAUGGAGGCCUUCGGGUUGUGAACCUCUGUUUCCGGUGGUGAAGGCCCUGUCCGUGUGGUGGGGUUGACGGUAGCCGGGGAUGAAGCGCCGGCUAACUACGUG